AUGUUCCAGACCAACAAAAUGAACUAAAGCUGAUGCAAAUGCAAUUUAUACGAUGCAAAUAAUAUGGCAAGACCAGCAUGAUCACAUCUCCACUCAUCCUGAAAGCUUCAAAACACUAGAAAUGGGAACCAUGAAGUAUAACCAUCCUCCUAGGAGCAUUUAAAAACCUGUAAAACCAAGCUGUUGCUUUCUGGUUGUUAUAUAAUUACCUUAGCAAACAUUUGCAUGGCCAGCAAACUCCAAGAAUCAUGAAUUAGUACACAC
RNAcentral lists this long non-coding RNA (264 nucleotides) under Elaeis guineensis (African oil palm). RNAcentral's name for it is "long non-coding RNA (EGUI_LNC077919)". The record is from RNAcentral. Lineage: Eukaryota; Viridiplantae; Streptophyta; Magnoliopsida; Arecales; Arecaceae.